UACGGAGGGGGCUAGCGUUGUUCGGAAUUACUGGGCGUAAAGCGCACGUAGGCGGCUUUGUAAGUUAGAGGUGAAAGCCCGGGGCUCAACUCCGGAAUUGCCUUUAAGACUGCAUCGCUAGAAUUGUGGAGAGGUAAGUGGAAUUCCGAGUGUAGAGGUGAAAUUCGUAGAUAUUCGGAAGAACACCAGUGGCGAAGGCGGCUUCCUGGACCAAUACUGACGAUCAGGUGCGAAAGCGUGGGGAGCAAACAGG
Molecule: ribosomal RNA, 253 nt
Filed under: uncultured bacterium
Lineage: Bacteria
Description: partial 16S ribosomal RNA
Rfam family: Bacterial small subunit ribosomal RNA
Source: RNAcentral